GUCGAGAAUCUUUCACAAUGGGGGCAACCCUGAUGGAGCGACGCCGCGUGGAGGAUAAGGUCUUCGGAUUGUAAACUCCUGUCAUGCGUGAACAAGGUUGCUUGGUUAAUACCUGGGCAAAUUGAUGGUAACGCAAGAGGAAGAGACGGCUAACUCUGUGCCAGCAGCCGCGGUAAUACGUAGGGUGCAAGCGUUGUUCGGAAUCACUGGGCGUAAAGGGUGCGUAGGUGGCGUGGUAAGUCAGAUGUGAAAGCCCGGGGCUCAACCUCGGAACUGCAUCCGAUACGGCCAUGCUAGAGUACUGGAGAGGUGACUAGAAUUCUCGGUGUAGCAGUGAAAUGCGUAGAUAUCGAGAGGAAUACCAAAGGCGUAGGCAGGUCACUGGACAGUUACUGACACUGAGGCACGAAGGCCAGGGGAGCGAACGGGAUUAGAUACCCGAGUAGUCC
RNAcentral lists this ribosomal RNA (449 nucleotides) under uncultured bacterium. Its description in RNAcentral is "partial 16S ribosomal RNA". It matches the Rfam family "Bacterial small subunit ribosomal RNA", at positions 354 to 796 of the family's 1533-position model. The record is from RNAcentral.